CCUACGGGAGGCAGCAGUGAGGAAUAUUGGUCAAUGGACGAGAGUCUGAACCAGCCAAGUAGCGUGAAGGAUGACUGCCCUAUGGGUUGUAAACUUCUUUUAUAUGGGAAUAAAACGUUCCACGUGUGGGAUUUUGUAUGUACCAUAUGAAUAAGGAUCGGCUAACUCCGUGCCAGCAGCCGCGGUAAUACGGAGGAUCCGAGCGUUAUCCGGAUUUAUUGGGUUUAAAGGGAGCGUAGGUGGAUUGUUAAGUCAGUUGUGAAAGUUUGCGGCCCAACCGUAAAAUUGCAGUUGAAACUGGCAGUCUUGAGUACAGUAGAGGUGGGCGGAAUUCGUGGUGUAGCGGUGAAAUGCUUAGAUAUCACGAAGAACUCCGAUUGCGAAGGCAGUUCACUGGACUGCAACUGACACUGAGGCUCGAAAGUGUGGGUAUCAAACAGGAUUAGAUACCCUUGUAGUC
RNAcentral lists this ribosomal RNA (460 nucleotides) under uncultured bacterium. Its description in RNAcentral is "partial 16S ribosomal RNA". It matches the Rfam family "Bacterial small subunit ribosomal RNA", at positions 338 to 795 of the family's 1533-position model. The record is from RNAcentral.